This 73-nucleotide transfer RNA is filed under the name Stegodyphus mimosarum. It matches the Rfam family "tRNA". From Rfam's summary of the family: Transfer RNA (tRNA) molecules are approximately 80 nucleotides in length. The record is from Rfam by way of RNAcentral. Lineage: Eukaryota; Metazoa; Arthropoda; Arachnida; Araneae; Eresidae.
GCCUUCGUGGUGCAGUGGUUAGCACGUUCGACGCGUAACCGAGAGAUAUGUGGUUCAAUUCCCGGCGAAGGCG